This is a non-coding RNA of Microcebus murinus (gray mouse lemur), 1384 nucleotides long. The record is from RefSeq and is a predicted model, not a curated record. Lineage: Eukaryota; Metazoa; Chordata; Mammalia; Primates; Cheirogaleidae.
AUGCCCAGGUUUGACUUCAGGGUAUCAUUUCUUAAAGAAUUUGGAUCUGCAAAGAAACCAAGCAUGAUUGGUUUUUCAGUUAAUGAGAGGCAUGAAUGCAAACCAGAGAUAAAGAAAGGUGAUUUCUCUCUCCUGGACACUAGGCAUGUCUGGUGCCAGGUCAGCUCGCGCCUCCUGGCUCUGGUGUGGAGCAGCAGCGGAGAAAAAGGAGCCGCGCUGGAGGCUGCACAACAACUAGACCUCUUUCUUCCACAUUUUCUCUCAUUUCUCCCUACCUCUCGUGGCCGGACCGUGGUCGUGCUGGGCGGAGGCAUCAGCGGCUUGGCUGCCAGUUACCACCUGAGCCGGCCCCUUACCCCCCUAAGGUGGUCCUGGUGGAGGGCAGCGAGCGUCUGGGAAGCUGGAUUCGCUCAGUCCGAGGGCGCAAUGGUGCUAUUUUUGAACUUGGACCUUGGGGAAUUAGGCCCGAGGGAGCCUUGGGAGCCCAAACUUUGCUCAAGGUGGCGUCUCUAGCCAUGGACAGUCUCUGCUGUGGAGUGUUUGCAGGCAACAGCCGUGAGCUCAGCAUCAGGUCUUGCCUUCCCAGUCUCUUUCAAGCUGAGCAAACCCAUCGUUCCAUAUUACUGGGGAUGCUGCUGGGAGCAGGGCAGAGCCCACAGCUGGACUCAGCACUCAUUCGCCAGGCCCAGGCUGAGCGCCGGAGCCAGUGGUCCCUCCGUGGAGGUCUGGAGAUGUUACCCCAGGCCCUUGAAACCCACCUGACUAGUAGGGGGAUCAGUGUUCUCAAAGGCCAUCCAGUCUCUGGGCUCAGCCUCUAGGCAGCAGGGCGCUGGAGGUGUCUCUAGGGGACAGCAGUCUGGAGGCUGACCACGUUAUUAGUGCCAUUCCAGCUUCAGUGCUCAGCAAGCUGCUCCCUGCUGAGGCUGCUCCUCUGGCUGUGCCGAGUGCCAUCACUGCUGUGUCUGUAGCUGUGGUGAAUCUGCAGUACCGAGGAGCUCGUCUGCCUGUCCAGGUAAUGACGUGGGUUCCUGGUUACAGACACUGGAGGCCAGUGGAUGUGUCUUAUCUCAGGAGCUGUUCCAACACCAGGCACAGAAAGCAGCUGCCACACAAUUAGGACUGACGGAGCCACCAAGUUACUGCUUGGUCCAUCCACACAAGAACUGCAUCCCCCAGUAUACACUAGGUCACUGGCAAAAACUGGAGUCAGCUAGGCAGUUCCUGGCUGCUCAAAGGUUGCCUCUAACUCUGGCUGGAGCCUCCCAUGAGGGGGUUGCUGUUAAUGAUUGUAUAGAGAGUGGGCGACAGGCAGCAGUCAGUGCCCUUCACAGAUGAUCUCCAACUCUCAAACAUGAAAAUAAAAAUUGCUGGAGCUUGAAAAAAA